AAUCAACGCUGGCGGCGUGCCUCAGACAUGCAAGUCGAACGAUUAAAGCUCUCUUCGGAGAGUGUAUAGAGUGGCGCACGGGUGAGUAACACGUAAGUAAUCUACCCUCGAGUGGGGAAUAACAACCGGAAACGGUUGCUAAUACCGCAUAAUGCAGCGGCACCGCAAGGUGACAGUUGUUAAAGAUUUAUCGCUUGAGGAGGAGCUUGCGGCAGAUUAGCUAGUUGGUAGGGUAACGGCUUACCAAGGCUACGAUCUGUAACCGGUCUAAGAGGACGGUCGGUCACACUGACACUGAAUAACGGGUCAGACUCCUACGGGAGGCAGCAGUCGGGAAUUUUGGGCAAUGGGCGAAAGCCUGACCCAGCAACGCCGCGUGAAGGAUGAAGUAUUUCGGUAUGUAAACUUCGAAAGAAUAGGAAGAAUUAAUGACGGUACUAUUUAUAAGGUCCGGCUAACUACGUGCCAGCAGCCGCGGUAAAGUGACGCUUCU
RNAcentral lists this ribosomal RNA (493 nucleotides) under uncultured bacterium. Its description in RNAcentral is "bacterial SSU rRNA". It matches the Rfam family "Bacterial small subunit ribosomal RNA", at positions 32 to 536 of the family's 1533-position model. The record is from RNAcentral.